GAUGAACGCUGGCGGCGUGCCUAAUACAUGCAAGUCGAGCGAACGGACGAGAAGCUUGCUUUUCUGAUGUUAGCGGCGGACGGGUGAGUAACACGUGGAUAACCUACCUAUAAGACUGGGAUAACUUCGGGAAAUCGGAGCUAAUACCGGAUAAUAUUUUGAACCGCAUGGUUCAAAAGUGAAAGACGGUCUUGCUGUCACUUAUAGAUGGAUCCGCGCUGCAUUAGCUAGUUGGUAAGGUAACGGCUUACCAAGGCAACGAUGCAUAGCCGACCUGAGAGGGUGAUCGGCCACACUGGAACUGAGACACGGUCCAGACUCCUACGGGAGGCAGCAGUAGGGAAUCUUCCGCAAUGGGCGAAAGCCUGACGGAGCAACGCCGCGUGAGUGAUGAAGGUCUUCGGAUCGUAAAACUCUGUUAUUAGGGAAGAACAUAUGUGUAAGUAACUGUGCACAUCUUGACGGUACCUAAUCAGAAAGCCACGGCUAACUACGUG
This 497-nucleotide ribosomal RNA is filed under the name uncultured bacterium. RNAcentral describes it as "partial 16S ribosomal RNA". It matches the Rfam family "Bacterial small subunit ribosomal RNA", at positions 28 to 507 of the family's 1533-position model. The record is from RNAcentral.